Molecule: ribosomal RNA, 422 nt
Filed under: Laparocerus prainha
Lineage: Eukaryota; Metazoa; Arthropoda; Insecta; Coleoptera; Curculionidae
Description: partial 16S ribosomal RNA
Source: RNAcentral
GGUAUUUUGACCGUGCAAAGGUAGCAUAAUCAUUAGUUUUUUAAUUGAAAGCUGGAAUGAAAGGUUGGAUGAGAAAAAAGCUGUCUCUAUUUAAUUUAUUUAGAAUUUUAUUUUUAAGUUAAAAAGCUUAAAUUUAGAUAAAAGACGAGAAGACCCUAUAGAGUUUUAUUAGUUUUUUUUAUAGAGUUAAUGGUAUUUUUUGUCUUUAUAGGAAAAAUUAAUUUAGUUGGGGUGAUUGAAAAAUUGAAUUAACUUUUUUUUUAUAUUUACAUUAAUAAAUGGUUAUUUGAUCCUUAAUUUAAGAUUAAAAGAUAAAAUUACCUUAGGGAUAACAGCGUAAUUUUUUUUAAGAGUUCAAAUCGAAAGAAAAGAUUGCGACCUCGAUGUUGGAUUAAAAUAAAAUUUUGGUGUAGAAGCUAAAA